RNAcentral lists this ribosomal RNA (2907 nucleotides) under Escherichia coli. RNAcentral's name for it is "23S ribosomal RNA". It matches the Rfam family "Bacterial large subunit ribosomal RNA". The record is from RNAcentral. Lineage: Bacteria; Pseudomonadati; Pseudomonadota; Gammaproteobacteria; Enterobacterales; Enterobacteriaceae.
GGUUAAGCGACUAAGCGUACACGGUGGAUGCCCUGGCAGUCAGAGGCGAUGAAGGACGUGCUAAUCUGCGAUAAGCGUCGGUAAGGUGAUAUGAACCGUUAUAACCGGCGAUUUCCGAAUGGGGAAAACCCAGUGUGUUUCGACACACUAUCAUUAACUGAAUCCAUAGGUUAAUGAGGCGAACCGGGGGAACUGAAACAUCUAAGUACCCCGAGGAAAAGAAAUCAACCGAGAUUCCCCCAGUAGCGGCGAGCGAACGGGGAGGAGCCCAGAGCCUGAAUCAGUGUGUGUGUUAGUGGAAGCGUCUGGAAAGGCGCGCGAUACAGGGUGACAGCCCCGUACACAAAAAUGCACAUGCUGUGAGCUCGAUGAGUAGGGCGGGACACGUGGUAUCCUGUCUGAAUAUGGGGGACCAUCCUCCAAGGCUAAAUACUCCUGACUGACCGAUAGUGAACCAGUACCGUGAGGGAAAGGCGAAAAAGAACCCCGGCGAGGGGAGUGAAAAAGAACCUGAAACCGUGUACGUACAAGCAGUGGGAGCACAGAGCAAUCUGUGUGACUGCGUACCUUUGUAUAAUGGGUCAGCGACUUAUAUUCUGUAGCAAGGUUAACCGAAUAGGGGAGCCGAAGGGAAACCGAGUCUUAACUGGGCGUUAAGUUGCAGGGUAUAGACCCGAAACCCGGUGAUCUAGCCAUGGGCAGGUUGAAGGUUGGGUAACACUAACUGGAGGACCGAACCGACUAAUGUUGAAAAAUUAGCGGAUGACUUGUGGCUGGGGGUGAAAGGCCAAUCAAACCGGGAGAUAGCUGGUUCUCCCCGAAAGCUAUUUAGGUAGCGCCUCGUGAAUUCAUCUCCGGGGGUAGAGCACUGUUUCGGCAAGGGGGUCAUCCCGACUUACCAACCCGAUGCAAACUGCGAAUACCGGAGAAUGUUAUCACGGGAGACACACGGCGGGUGCUAACGUCCGUCGUGAAGAGGGAAACAACCCAGACCGCCAGCUAAGGUCCCAAAGUCAUGGUUAAGUGGGAAACGAUGUGGGAAGGCCCAGACAGCCAGGAUGUUGGCUUAGAAGCAGCCAUCAUUUAAAGAAAGCGUAAUAGCUCACUGGUCGAGUCGGCCUGCGCGGAAGAUGUAACGGGGCUAAACCAUGCACCGAAGCUGCGGCAGCGACACUGUGUGUUGUUGGGUAGGGGAGCGUUCUGUAAGCCUGUGAAGGUGUGCUGUGAGGCAUGCUGGAGGUAUCAGAAGUGCGAAUGCUGACAUAAGUAACGAUAAAGCGGGUGAAAAGCCCGCUCGCCGGAAGACCAAGGGUUCCUGUCCAACGUUAAUCGGGGCAGGGUGAGUCGACCCCUAAGGCGAGGCCGAAAGGCGUAGUCGAUGGGAAACAGGUUAAUAUUCCUGUACUUGGUGUUACUGCGAAGGGGGGACGGAGAAGGCUAUGUUGGCCGGGCGACGGUUGUCCCGGUUUAAGCGUGUAGGCUGGUUUUCCAGGCAAAUCCGGAAAAUCAAGGCUGAGGCGUGAUGACGAGGCACUACGGUGCUGAAGCAACAAAUGCCCUGCUUCCAGGAAAAGCCUCUAAGCAUCAGGUAACAUCAAAUCGUACCCCAAACCGACACAGGUGGUCAGGUAGAGAAUACCAAGGCGCUUGAGAGAACUCGGGUGAAGGAACUAGGCAAAAUGGUGCCGUAACUUCGGGAGAAGGCACGCUGAUAUGUAGGUGAAGUCCCUCGCGGAUGGAGCUGAAAUCAGUCGAAGAUACCAGCUGGCUGCAACUGUUUAUUAAAAACACAGCACUGUGCAAACACGAAAGUGGACGUAUACGGUGUGACGCCUGCCCGGUGCCGGAAGGUUAAUUGAUGGGGUCAGCGCAAGCGAAGCUCUUGAUCGAAGCCCCGGUAAACGGCGGCCGUAACUAUAACGGUCCUAAGGUAGCGAAAUUCCUUGUCGGGUAAGUUCCGACCUGCACGAAUGGCGUAAUGAUGGCCAGGCUGUCUCCACCCGAGACUCAGUGAAAUUGAACUCGCUGUGAAGAUGCAGUGUACCCGCGGCAAGACGGAAAGACCCCGUGAACCUUUACUAUAGCUUGACACUGAACAUUGAGCCUUGAUGUGUAGGAUAGGUGGGAGGCUUUGAAGUGUGGACGCCAGUCUGCAUGGAGCCGACCUUGAAAUACCACCCUUUAAUGUUUGAUGUUCUAACGUGGACCCGUGAUCCGGGUUGCGGACAGUGUCUGGUGGGUAGUUUGACUGGGGCGGUCUCCUCCUAAAGAGUAACGGAGGAGCACGAAGGUUGGCUAAUCCUCGGUCGGACAUCAGGAGGUUAGUGCAAUGGCAUAAGCCAGCUUGACUGCGAGCGUGACGGCGCGAGCAGGUGCGAAAAGCAGGUCAUAGUGAUCCGGUGGUUCUGAAUGGAAGGGCCAUCGCUCAACGGAUAAAAGGUACUCCGGGGAUAACAGGCUGAUACCGCCCAAGAGUUCAUAUCGACGGCGGUGUUUGGCACCUCGAUGUCGGCUCAUCACAUCCUGGGGCUGAAGUAGGUCCCAAGGGUAUGGCUGUUCGCCAUUUAAAGUGGUACGCGAGCUGGGUUUAGAACGUCGUGAGACAGUUCGGUCCCUAUCUGCCGUGGGCGCUGGAGAACUGAGGGGGCUGCUCCUAGUACGAGAGGACCGGAGUGGACGCAUCACUGGUGUUCGGGUUGUCAUGCCAAUGGCACUGCCCGGUAGCUAAAUGCGGAAGAGAUAAGUGCUGAAAGCAUCUAAGCACGAAACUUGCCCCGAGAUGAGUUCUCCCUGACCCUUUAAGGGUCCUGGAAGGAACGUUGAAGACGACGACGUUGAUAGGCCGGGUGUGUAAGCGCAGCGAUGCGUUGAGCUAACCGGUACUAAUGAACCGUGAGGCUUAACCUU